Molecule: ribosomal RNA, 617 nt
Filed under: Caucasotachea vindobonensis
Lineage: Eukaryota; Metazoa; Mollusca; Gastropoda; Stylommatophora; Helicidae
Description: partial 16S ribosomal RNA
Rfam family: Archaeal large subunit ribosomal RNA (bases 326-572)
Source: RNAcentral
GCUUAUUAUAAUAUUGGUCAAUUCCGGAUCCCGAAAAGUUAACGAGCUAUAUAAUUAUUAUUUUCUUCAUUGUAGAGCAGAGAUAAAAUGGGUAUAUAGGGGUGAUAGGCUUGACAAGUUGCUUGAUAGCUGGUUGUGUAGGAAAAAUAUUAAGUAGUGUGUCAGACUAAUAAUGUUUAGGUUAUUAGUUAACAUAAAAUGUGAUUUAUAAGUGUUAUGCAGUGUAAAAGCUAAUAACAAAGGAUGUUAAUAUUUAACUUUUAGACUUGUGUUAUUUACUACAUCGAGAAUUCUAGCAAUAUAUUUGAUUAUGUAAGUAUGAGUAGUAAUAAAAUUUACACCAAAGGAACUCGGCAAAUAUACUUCCCAACUGUUUAACAAAAACAUAACCACAUGUUGUAUUAUAUGUGGCUAUACCUGCUCCAUGGUUUACUAAAUAGCCGCAGUACCCUGACUGUGCAAAGGUAGCAUAAUCAUUUGGCCUCUAAUUAAGGUCUGGCAUGAAUGGGAUUAUGGGGAGUGACUGUCUGGGUGUAUUUAUUUGAAUUUAAUAAACAAGUGCAAAUGCUUGUGUAUCUAAAAUAGACGAGAAGACCCUAGAAGCUUGAACAUUUUUU